Molecule: ribosomal RNA, 253 nt
Filed under: uncultured bacterium
Lineage: Bacteria
Description: partial 16S ribosomal RNA
Rfam family: Bacterial small subunit ribosomal RNA
Source: RNAcentral
UACGUAGGGUGCAAGCGUUGUCCGGAAUUAUUGGGCGUAAAGGGCUCGUAGGCGGCCAACUAAGUCAGACGUGAAAUCCCUCGGCUUAACCGGGGAACUGCGUCUGAUACUGGAUGGCUUGAGUUUGGGAGAGGGAUGCGGAAUUCCAGGUGUAGCGGUGAAACGCGUAGAUAUCUGGAGGAACACCGGUGGCGAAGGCGGCAUCCUGAACCAACACUGACGCUGAUGAGCGAAAGCCAGGGGAGCAAACGGG